RNAcentral lists this ribosomal RNA (301 nucleotides) under uncultured bacterium. RNAcentral's name for it is "partial 16S ribosomal RNA". It matches the Rfam family "Bacterial small subunit ribosomal RNA", at positions 509 to 809 of the family's 1533-position model. The record is from RNAcentral.
CAGCCGCCGCGGGAAUACGAAGGGGGCUAGCGUUGUUCGGAUUAACUGGGCGUAAAGGGCGCGUAGGCGGGUCUUUAAGUCAGGGGUGAAAUCCCAAGGCUCAACCUUGGAACUGCCUUUGAUACUGGAGAUCUUGAGUCCGGGAGAGGUGAGUGGAACUGCGAGUGUAGAGGUGAAAUUCGUAGAUAUUCGCAAGAACACCAGUGGCGAAGGCGGCUCACUGGCCCGGUACUGACGCUGAGGCGCGAAAGCGUGGGGAGCAAACAGGAUUAGAUACCCCCGUAGUCCCUGUCUCUUAUAU